Long non-coding RNA from Pseudoliparis swirei, 468 nucleotides. RefSeq lists it as uncharacterized. The transcript has 2 exons. The record is from RefSeq and is a predicted model, not a curated record. NCBI's taxonomy places the organism in Eukaryota, Metazoa, Chordata, Actinopteri, Perciformes, Liparidae.
UGUAGGGUCAAGUACUUCUGUUUUCAGGUAUUGAGACUCUGGAGCAACGCUGACGUAGUUCACAGCUGUGUGUGUGGCGGACCCGUGAGCUAAACCUUGUCCCAGUGUCUUCUAGGUCAGGCCCACCAUGCGGGAAGGCACGGGUCUGAACUCCUCUUCAUGCGGCUCUGCUGGUGGAGCUGGAGACGGACUCGCUGCAGCUACGUGGCCGGGUAUUUUUUUAAAGGUAGUAUCGGUCACAACUGGUAUGCGUCAUCCUAUUUUAUUUUCAUUUCUGGGUGCAGCUGUUGCUCAUCAUGUGAUCAGAGAUCAUCUGUCCUGUAAAUAUUGACUUACUGUAUUCAGUAAAUCCAAGACUUUCUGAUUUAAUGCCAGCUUUUAUGUAACUCCGUGUAGAUGUGUAUAUAAUAUGAAGACCUCUUGUUUGAGGCAAAUGAAUAAAUCAACUUGAUGUUUGAGUUACUCUGA